This is a long non-coding RNA of Xiphophorus hellerii (green swordtail), 1221 nucleotides long. RefSeq lists it as uncharacterized. Lineage: Eukaryota; Metazoa; Chordata; Actinopteri; Cyprinodontiformes; Poeciliidae. The transcript has 3 exons. The record is from RefSeq and is a predicted model, not a curated record.
UUUUAGCUAUUUAUCUUAGAUUACUUAUAAACAGUGCAGUACAUAUAUAAACAAACUUAUGUUUGUUUCAGAAAUAGGUAUUUUAUCAAUUUUAUUGUGAUUAUUAUAAUAAUUAUUAUAACAAUCAUUCAACUUCAUGUUAUAACUGCAUGGAGGAUCUGCUUUUUGUGACUUAAUAUAGUUUUCUCAGAAAACUGGUUUUAAUUAAGCUCAGUAUGACAAAGAGACUUUGAUAUUGUGAGGCUGUUGUUAUAACUUGUUCAUCAUUGUUUUUAUCUUCAUAUUUUUGCUGUCUAAGCAAAUUAAGAUGAAAGAGGAAACCAGGGAUCAGGAAUUAGAAAACCUAAAGACUUUCCUGUCUCAGAAGAGGCUCUGGCUCCACCAGAUCACCAACCAGUUCUGAGGAUGAAGCUCCACAUCCUUCCAUCCUUUUUUUUACACUGAGCAGCUGGCUACAUUUUUAACAACAGCAAAAACUGCUUUCAAGGCUCUGUGAUGGACUAGUGACCUGUCCAGGGUGAACUCCGCCUCUCAUCUGAUGACUGCUGGAGAUGGGUUUUUAAGGUAGCUUUUAAGGUAGUAUUUCUCCCUUAAGUUCACACUUAAACCAACUUAAUAGAAUCAAUAGAUUCUAUGAUAUUACUGACUAUUUUUUCUACUUCUAACAUUAACAGACAAAUAAGUCACUCAGAAAUGUUUUUUCACUCCAGGCAUCCGGUCCCAAUCAUCAUCAGUUCUGAUGAUGUCACAUACAUAGCGAGUCCACAACAUCCUGAAAUUGUUUCUGUAAAGUGCAGUGAAUGGAAUGUUCUGUUAUUGAUCCUCACUGUUCAUAGGAAGGAGAAAUGUCAGUUUGUCUGCAGUAAUACUGGAAUACUGUGACAUUGUAUUAAAACAAUAUUCUGUCUUUGGUGAAACAUUUUUCACAUUUCAUCCAAAGUGUACCUGUUGUUUUAUUGUACUAAUUUUUAUAAGCAUGUUGUCUGUAAACCAUUAAUACUGUAUAUUGACAAUUUAUAAAAUUCUCUGAUAGUAUAUUGGCAAUGUACUCUUGAAAAAUGUGAAUAUAUUGAAUACACAAUGUAAUUAGUUUCACCUGGAAAGUGUGUUGUAAUUGAUCCUUCUGUGUUCUGGUAGCCUGAUAUGUUGACAGUACUGCAGUGUGUAUGAAGCAUGUAAUGUACAAAGUGGCAAAGCAGAAUAAUAAAAUACAUAAAGUAA